Long non-coding RNA from Eurytemora carolleeae, 454 nucleotides. RefSeq lists it as uncharacterized. The record is from RefSeq and is a predicted model, not a curated record. The transcript has 7 exons. NCBI's taxonomy places the organism in Eukaryota, Metazoa, Arthropoda, Copepoda, Calanoida, Temoridae.
UUAAUAUUUUAAUAUUCGUUAUAUUGAAUUUGAAUCAUUUUUCAGAAAUCAUUAUAGAAUGGCUAAUUAUCCAACGUUAAUUGGGGACAUAGCGGUGGAAAAAGUGAGAACUGGCGAGAAGGUGAAGUUUUCAGAUUUAUGGAGGACCAGUCCUUGUGUUAUUGUUUGGUUCAGGAGGUUUGGAUGACCUUAUUGUAGAGUAGCUGCCGCUGAAAUCUCCAAGAUACAAGCGCAGCUACACAACAACAACAUUAAGCUUAUCGGGGUGGGGGUAGAAAAAUUAGGGCUUCAGGAUUUUGUUGAGAAAGGAUAUUUUACAGGGGAGCUUUUCAUUGAUGAAUCAAAGGCUUCAUACAGAGCAAUGGGCUUUGCAAGUAUGGAAUACUCCGAACUACUGGGUCGAUCUUUUUUCUCAACUCAAGCUGUCACAUCAAUUUACAAGAAUAUAUCCGAG